Long non-coding RNA from Hevea brasiliensis (rubber tree), 1592 nucleotides. RefSeq lists it as uncharacterized. The record is from RefSeq and is a predicted model, not a curated record. The transcript has 5 exons. NCBI's taxonomy places the organism in Eukaryota, Viridiplantae, Streptophyta, Magnoliopsida, Malpighiales, Euphorbiaceae.
UUGUCCAUUUCUAUAUACAAGAAGUAUUGUUCAUAUUGUAUCGAAGAUGAUUAGAAACGAAAUAGUGCUCCGUUUUAAAACUUUGAAACGGAGUAUUUUUUUUCGUUUGUAAUUAGUUGAGUUUCUCUAACGUUAGAAACAGAGAGUUAUUCCAUUUCAUUUUUUUGAAAUAGAUUUAAGUGUCCGUUUCUAUUCUGUGAUUUUGUUCUUCCUCCUUUCUCUGUCUUGAAACCCUAAUUCAUUUUCCUCUUCCACUCGAAUUCAUUUUCCCUCACACCUUCCUCAGUCACUCUUGCUCUGUCUCUUUCUCUUGCUCUCUUUCUCAUACUAUUCUAAAGUCCCUUUCUCUGAACAUCGGCGCAAAGUCCCUCAGUCACCCAAAUUCACUUUGGAGCUAUUCUAAAGGUCAAUCACACUUUUGGGUAUUUUUUUUCUUUCUCUCUCACGCUCAUUCAGGCUUGCCCUUUCUCUAUUUUAGGGUUAGAGACAGUCGAAGAUAUAACAGCCUUAACCAGUUGACUCGAGCCAGUGGGUUUCAGAGUCACAAGCAGUUGCAUCUUUCUUACAUUUGUUUAAGGAAAAUCAUGUCCAUCAUCAAGGAAAAGUUGGACGUGGAAGACUAUUGUUGGAAAACUAUCUCGAACGAGAUGAAAGACUUUCACUAGACCGAGUUUCAGAAAAACUUCACUUGGGAUGAGAUAAUGACAUCCCUUGUGAAGAUUGCUUGGGAGAACAAGGCUGCUAAGCAUUUAUGUGCCAUUAAAGGAAGUUGGCAUAGAAGCCCUUUUCGUGCCUGAUGCAGCAUGGUGUAAGUGGAAAGAGACCUGGCGUACACCUGACUUCAAAGCUCGUAGUGAGCAAUUCAUAGCAAAUCACCGUAGUAAGACUAGAGGACCCGAAUCUGACAUAUCUCACCACACGGGGGGCUCAAUUUCCCAUGUGUAACACGCAGAGAGAUUGGCCAUGAGGUAAGCUCAGCCGAGAUCCUCUCCCCCACGAGCUUUUCGAGACAAUCCAUACGAGGAAGGGCACUUCAGAGCUCGUUGAUGCACGGGCACAAUCCAUCAAGGUUGUUGGAGGUGAGAAGAAAUGACGGGUUUAUGGAGUUAGAUUACAGGCAUCUAUUUUCUACCCCCAAUAAGCUGGUGCAUCAUCUUUUACUACUUCCCACAUGCCAGCACCGGCUGUUAAAGAGGAGCUAUGUCAACUAUGAUAGACGGUUGAGAUCUUAUAGCAGAGAGACAAGGACGGUGAGCACAUGAUGCAAGAGAGGGAGGAGCAGCGUGAGCGCCUUAUGUAAGACCAACUAAGACAGAUGCAAGAGAUGAUGAGGCAGAUGCAGUCUCGAUUCUCACAACCCUCACAGCCAAUGGAGUAGGAUCCACCUACAAGAGAUGCCGCUGCUGAUGAUCAUUUGGAUGAUUUAUAGCUUCCUUCUUGUUUAUGGAUAUUCUUAUCGAGCACUAUGAAUUUUUCUACACACUUUACAUUGUAUUUAUCCAUACACUUUACAUUAUAUUUAUGGAUUUCAUGAUUAUGUCUUUAAUUCAUGUCAUUUACUUUAUUAAUAUGAAAUGGAGCUUUUAUUAUUA